RNAcentral lists this long non-coding RNA (21928 nucleotides) under Chlamydomonas reinhardtii. RNAcentral's name for it is "long non-coding RNA (CREI_LNC000725)". Lineage: Eukaryota; Viridiplantae; Chlorophyta; Chlorophyceae; Chlamydomonadales; Chlamydomonadaceae. The record is from RNAcentral.
UAGCUUCGGCAGGGACGGUGCCCAUCAGUUCCCGAUGUUGACAAACCAUGCAUCCAGCCGCCCACACGUGCUCUCCGUUCGUCACAUACCGUACUCGAACUCCAAUGUCCGCAGAGCGUGUGCGCGAAAUCCACACGCCACACACGCAAGUGACAGCCGCCCGUCCUUGCACAGCAAGCAUCUCCGCGCACGGUCGCACGCUUCUCUAGCCCCAACGAACCGCAAACCACAAAUCAAGUCACACCCACCUCAGCAUUAGAAGUGCACACCCGCCUAUCGAAUGUCGGAUGAUGAUAAGGCAACAAGUAGGUCUAGAGAAAUGAAAGCUAGUAGGUCUACUGCACCCAUGCAUGGAUGGAAAGAAUCAAUGGACCUGUGGAUAUAGGAUCCGGCCUCCUCAAGGGUCCUCGCGCAUUUACUAAAGAGCCAAGGGGUCUAGUAUGUAAGAAUCAAUGCCAGUCUCAAGUCAAGCACACUGAUGCCGGUUCCUGGCAUCUGGAAUGCCAGAAGGGUCGGAGGAACUUGCACACACAGAACGUACACGUCGUGUCACUGACAGCCCACUCGAGUCUCGUAAACAGAAAACAUAGUGCCCGCUCCUGCAGCGAGCCAAGAUACGGUAACCUCGAUACUUCUUUGUGUGUCACCGCGGUACGCGCACACACACGGAUCCACGGGCUUCCUCUCCGCACUCCUUCUGUCACACCCGUGCGAUAGAUCGUUUCGGACGUCACCUCUCCUCCGUCCCAUUACGAACCUGUAGCCCCAGGCAGCCCUGCGUCCAUUGGCACAGCGCCCCUCGCCACCUGCCACCCUCCCGCUCAGCAAAUAAACGCACGCGCGAGAGCAAAACACCAGCAGGUCCAUAGUAUGGCCAAGGGAGGCUGCCGGUUCCCCGGUCCCAUACAGUCACACAUACAUCUUAUUAAGAAACAUCAGCAGGGUUUAGUUGGCAAGUCUCAGUAGAGAAAUAGACAUCCAUACAUCACCCAAUGCGCGUGGCAAUAUCGCACUGAGUGCUUGCUUGCGCUAGCAAUCCAGCAUCAAGUACGGCCUUUGACACUCCCGCUCGCUCACAUACGGUGAAAUAUCAGUACAGCACGGCAACACUUGCGCGAAUCAGUCCUGACUCCUGCGGUAAACGCCGACUACCGUAGCACGCCCUGCUGUCGUGCUGACAAUGAGAAAUGUGCGGCGGCACAGCCCUGCUGGUUCACUUGAUAGUGGGCCCGAUCAGUAGCUAGUAGCGGCGAUUUGCCUAGCUGUCUAUACUUGCACGCAUACGCUGCAGGCUUUGCCGCCUGCCAUUCAACACACUCCUCAUGCCCUGCUGCUGGCUCGCUUCGAUACUGUACCAUCCACACACGUACGUGUGAGGAGCCCCUCUUGCGCCCGGCCACCAGCACCAAAGCUGCGGCGGCUGCGGCUGCUACUGCUACUGCUGCAUCUUCAAAUGGCGAAGGCAGCAAGCCGCUGGCUGCAGGCUCAUGCAGCUGACGGCGUAACACGGAAGCCAAACGGAACGGAGCGGGCCUUGCCGCUACCAGGCCGCCACCGCUGCCGGUGGCGGGAAGCAGCCGCACGCGCGCUCCAACGCGGCAAACUCCUCCAGCUCCCUUUCCUGCUCGGCCCACGCCGCCGCCGCCAGCUCGAGCGGCCGCCGCUGGGGGUGCCGCCGGUACCGCUGGCAGCUGAUGCCGCCGCCGCCUGCUCCGCCAGGCCCUCCUUCAUCCAGUGUGCGAGCGACCCGAGGUCGAGCUCCUCCUCCUCCUCCUCAACGUCAUCCGCCCAGCGGCGGCCGCUGGGGGUGCCGCCGGUGCCGCUGACAGCUGCCGCCGCCGCCUGCUCCGCCAGGCCCUCCUUCAUCCAGUCUGCGAGCGACCCGAGGUCGAGCUCCUCCUCCGCCUCCUCGUGCGCCUCAACCUCAUCCGCCCAGCUACCGCUCGCGCCACCGCUGCUGCUAAUGCUGGCGCGAGGAGCAAUGCUGCUGCUGCUGCCGUCAGACUCUGACGCUGCCGCGGGCGCGGCCGGUGCGGCUUCCGCCUGCUGCUGCUCGGCCGCCGCGAGCUCCGCCAGUCCCUGCUUCACCCAGGGCGUCUGCUCAAAGAGGUCGCUCAGGUCGAGUCCGUCAGCCUCAUCCUCAUCAUCAUCGCCCCAUCGCGGCGUGGUCGAGCUGCGGUCGACGGUGGAGGUGGAGAUGGGGCUUGCAGCGGCGGCGGGCUUGGUCGGAGCCGCGAGCUUGGGCACCUUGGGCAGGCCGGGCGGCUUCUGCGGGCGCCAGUGGUUGUCGUAGGCAUGGCAAAGCUGGCAGGGGGCGCUCCUGCAGCCAGCAGAUAGGCUGGCAUAGCACCAGCGCAUGCAGGACUUGUGAGGAAAGCAGCAGGCGCUGGGGGCAGGCUCCUGCUGCUCCUGCUGGUGGGCGGCGGCGGAGGGCUCGCUCUCAUCAGAGCCGUGGCCUUGGCUGCGGGGCGUGUGGCGCCAGGCGUCCUGUGCAAACGAGAUCGGGGGAAAAGGAUAGAUGGGGGCGGACAAGCCGUGAGUGCACGGGACGAGGACAAGGGUCGGGGCGCAGAGGGCGGGACAAAGGACCGGGGGUCGGGGACUCGAGCCCCGGCAAAAAAGUCAGGCGCACCGGAAAGGCACGCGCUUUCGGUCAAAGCUGUUGACCGACGCAUUUUACGUGACAAUACAUGCAGCAAUAUGCAGCCAGUGUGGCCGCAGCAGCGCAAGAAGGAAGGCCGAGGAAGCCGAGCGCACUACCGUACUGGCCCGAAAUCUGCAACGCUAUCUAGCCCGCAUCAGAAGCCUAAUGCUUUGCAUGUGGCAUCGGAUACCCAUUGCAGUUGCUCAAGGCUCAAAAUGGCCGUGCCCGAACAUGAAUGGUGCUCACCUGCAUCGGUCGGCUCGGCUCGAAGUCAAGCCCCGGUGCACUUGCGCUUGACCGUGAUGUGGCCAUAGUAGCUCUUGACCGCAACAAGCACUCUUCGCGCGCAGAACUCGAUUCUGCUGCUAGCGCAAUUCUUUCGCUUGACGGAAACUUUUCCUCGCGGUGCCCGGGAGGGAUUCGCGCUAGGAGCUGCUAGUUCGUGACAGUGGUGGUGCUUGCCGCAGCUUUCAUGCGCAUGCGGUGGAAAUCGAGAGAGGUUGCGAACAGCCCUAGAAAUGCUCUUCUUUGCCGUCAGGUGCUCGUAGCUAAGCAGUGGGCGUAAAAGCUGUUUGCGAGAUGUCUUUGCAUCUGUUGAAUGUGCAAUAUGAGCACAGCGCGAAGCUUUUAUCCAGUGGCGGGGACAGUGUCUCGGGCGCCCAUGCAGGCGACACGCGCCCAAUCCCGAGCCUCCCUCCUCGCCUUUACCUUGUCCCUGGACCCGCGCCAUCCGUGUCCCGCUGUUCAAUUCCCGCGUUUCAUACCAGUUCCCCUCCCCUGCGCAGGCCGGUAACCCCUGAUCCCGCCGCUGCCGGGGAUGCAGCCGUGCAGGAUGAGGCCUGAUGAGGUUGACGGCUGGGGAAGUUGGUGUGGGGAAGUUGGUGUAGGUUGGCGGUGAUCCAGCGGGGUGGGUGCCGAUGUGCUAUAGCGGGCGCGAGGCUGUACACGUCAGGAUCUGGCGAGUGUACUGCUUAACACCUACCGCUACGCAGUACUCCGGCUUGCCCCUCCCCCCUCAGGGCGCUCCAUGCCGUGCGCCCCGGAAUGCGGUGUGGGGAUGGGGUGGGGUGGGAUGGACUGGCGGAUGGUGGAAGUAUCAUAUAGGUCUGCUGGGGGCUGCGAGCAGCCAUACUACCGGUCAUGAUAUUGCCUUCGGUAGCUCAGGGCGCCGCGGGCUGGGGGUGGGUAAGUGAGCGGGGAUGGGGGCUCGGACUCAGCGGGGGCACGGACUCAGGGCGUGGAAGCCAGCGAGAAGUGGGCGAGAGUAACGCCGAUGUGCCGGGUGAUGUGCGAGCAGAAUACAGAACGCGGCAUUCGUCAUUACGGGGAAACUAAAACAGAUAGCGCCAACCUUUUGCGCCUCGCGCUUUCGCGCGCAAUUUCCAGGAUCCUCCAACGCGUCGAUUCCUCCGUCUUGCGUCCUUCCGUGCCGGGAGCCUUGAUUAUCGAUACAAUUUGUGAUAUAUUGUAUGUUGCGCUGGAGCUCUAAUGCAAACGCUGCGCUUGUGCGUUUACCCCGCUCUGGCAUAGGGCUUGCGUUUUCAUAAUGUUACGCUUUGCAAUACAUACAUAGAAAGGCGCAUUAUUUGCACGACAAAUUCCGCUGCGCUCGGGUUUCAAGGUUAUAACUCAAGUCAAAACUGGAAUAACCGGGAGGGCCCCCCGCGGCGAGCUCGAUGCGACCGCAAUGGCUAUUGCCCCUCCCCCUUCGGGGGAAGGGGCAAGCCAACCUGGCUUUGUGAUGGCCCCCAAGCGUAGGUGAGGUAGGCGCACGGCGGUGACAAGGCAUGCGGCCAGUGGAACUGCCUUACAGUUACAGCCCGCCCAAGCGCGGUUGUUGCCUUGCCAUGAUUUCCGUGCAGUCUGCUAGCUUCGGCAGGGACGGUGCCCAUCAGUUCCCGAUGUUGACAAACCAUGCAUCCAGCCGCCCACACGUGCUCUCCGUUCGUCACAUACCGUACUCGAACUCCAAUGUCCGCAGAGCGUGUGCGCGAAAUCCACACGCCACACACGCAAGUGACAGCCGCCCGUCCUUGCACAGCAAGCAUCUCCGCGCACGGUCGCACGCUUCUCUAGCCCCAACGAACCGCAAACCACAAAUCAAGUCACACCCACCUCAGCAUUAGAAGUGCACACCCGCCUAUCGAAUGUCGGAUGAUGAUAAGGCAACAAGUAGGUCUAGAGAAAUGAAAGCUAGUAGGUCUACUGCACCCAUGCAUGGAUGGAAAGAAUCAAUGGACCUGUGGAUAUAGGAUCCGGCCUCCUCAAGGGUCCUCGCGCAUUUACUAAAGAGCCAAGGGGUCUAGUAUGUAAGAAUCAAUGCCAGUCUCAAGUCAAGCACACUGAUGCCGGUUCCUGGCAUCUGGAAUGCCAGAAGGGUCGGAGGAACUUGCACACACAGAACGUACACGUCGUGUCACUGACAGCCCACUCGAGUCUCGUAAACAGAAAACAUAGUGCCCGCUCCUGCAGCGAGCCAAGAUACGGUAACCUCGAUACUUCUUUGUGUGUCACCGCGGUACGCGCACACACACGGAUCCACGGGCUUCCUCUCCGCACUCCUUCUGUCACACCCGUGCGAUAGAUCGUUUCGGACGUCACCUCUCCUCCGUCCCAUUACGAACCUGUAGCCCCAGGCAGCCCUGCGUCCAUUGGCACAGCGCCCCUCGCCACCUGCCACCCUCCCGCUCAGCAAAUAAACGCACGCGCGAGAGCAAAACACCAGCAGGUCCAUAGUAUGGCCAAGGGAGGCUGCCGGUUCCCCGGUCCCAUACAGUCACACAUACAUCUUAUUAAGAAACAUCAGCAGGGUUUAGUUGGCAAGUCUCAGUAGAGAAAUAGACAUCCAUACAUCACCCAAUGCGCGUGGCAAUAUCGCACUGAGUGCUUGCUUGCGCUAGCAAUCCAGCAUCAAGUACGGCCUUUGACACUCCCGCUCGCUCACAUACGGUGAAAUAUCAGUACAGCACGGCAACACUUGCGCGAAUCAGUCCUGACUCCUGCGGUAAACGCCGACUACCGUAGCACGCCCUGCUGUCGUGCUGACAAUGAGAAAUGUGCGGCGGCACAGCCCUGCUGGUUCACUUGAUAGUGGGCCCGAUCAGUAGCUAGUAGCGGCGAUUUGCCUAGCUGUCUAUACUUGCACGCAUACGCUGCGGGUGUGCCUCACAUACCAUAAUACCCAGUGCUGCUUCUUUCGCAUAUAACACACGCUCAGCAUGCCCUGCUGGCUCACUUCGAUACUGUGCCAUCCACACACGUACGUGUGACGAGCCCCUCUUGCGAACGGCCGCCGGCACCACAGCUGCGGCGGCUGCGGCUGCUGCUGCUCCUGCUGCUGCUACUGCUACUGCUGCAUCUUCAAAUGGCGAGGGCAGCAAGCCGCUGGCUGCAGGGCUCAUGCAGCUGACGGCGUAACACGGAAGCCAAACGGAACGGAGCGGCCCUUGCCGCUACCAGGCCGCCACCGCUGCCGGUGGCGGGAAGCAGCCGCACGCGCGCUCCAACGCGGCAAACUCCUCCAGCUCCCGCUCCUGCUCAGCCCACGCCGCCGCCGCCAGCUCCAUCGCCAGGCGCAGGCGCGAGGGCAUCACAGCUGACUGCCACUCAUCACCCUGCUGCACCGCCGCGAUCGGCGGAACGACACAGCUGCCCAUGCUGCUGCCGGCGGCGGUGCAGGCCUCCUUGUCAGCGCUAUGCUCCUCCACUGCCGCCUCCACCAACUCCACCUGCUGCGGCGUCUCACUGCCUGCCGCCGCCGCCACCCAGACCAGACUGCAGCUGCUGGCGCUGCGGCUGGUGCGGGCGCUGUCCGGCACGGCGCAGCAGCACGAGCUGAGCGGCGAGUCAGGCGCGUCCAGCCGCUCAGUGACGACGGCCACCUCCUGCGCCGCUUCGGCCGCCGCCGGCACGCACUCGCCCUGGGCCUCUGCUUUCCCCAUCGCCGCCAGCUCCGCCGCCAUCCAGGGCGACAGCGAGGCGAGGUAGGCGCCGAAAUCGCCGGCCUCCUCCGCCUCAACGUCAUCCGCCCAGCGGCGGCCGUUGGGGAUGCCGCCGGUGCCGCUGGCAGCUGCCGCCGCCGCCUGCUCCGCCAGGCCCUCCUUCAGCCAAUCUGCGAGCGACCCGAGGUCGAGCUCCUCCUCCGCCUCCUCAUGCGCCUCAACCUCAUCCGCCCAGCUACCGCUCGCGCCACCGCUGCUGCUAAUGCUGGCGCGAGGAGCAAUGCUGCUGCUGCUGCUGCUGCUGCUGCUGCCGUCAGACUCUGACGCUGCCGCGGGCACGGCCGGUGCGGCUUCCGCCUGCUGCUGCUCGGCCGCCGCGAGCUCCGCCAGUCCCUGCUUCACCCAGGGCGUCUGCUCAAAGAGGUCGCUCAGGUCGAGUCCGUCAGCCUCAUCCUCAUCAUCAUCGCCCCAUCGCGGCGUGGUCGAGCUGCGGUCGACGGUGGAGGUGGAGAUGGGGCUUGCAGCGGCGGCGGGCUUGGUCGGGGCGGCGGGCUUGGUCGGAGCCGCGAGCUUGGGCACCUUGGGCAGGCCGGGCGGCUUCUGCGGGCGCCAGUGGUUGUCGUAGGCAUGGCAAAGCUGGCAAGGGGCGCUCCUGCAGCCAGCAGAUAGGCUGGCAUAGCACCAGCGCAUGCAGGACUUGUGAGGAAAGCAGCAGGCGCUGGGGGCGGGCUCCUGCUGCUCCUGCUGGUGGGCGGCGGCGGAGGGCUCGCUCUCAUCAGAGCCGUGGCCUUGGCUGCGGGGCGUGUGGCGCCAGGCGUCCUGUGCAAACGAGAUCGGGGGAAAAGGAUAGAUGGGGGCGGACAAGCCGUGAGUGCACGGGACGAGGACAAGGGUCGGGGCGCAGAGGGCGGGAGAAAGGGCCGGGGGUCGGGGGCUCGGGCCCCGGCAAAAAAGUCAGGCGCACCGGAAAGGCACGCGCUUUCGGUCAAAGCUGUUGACCGACGCAUUUUACGAGACAAUACAUGCAGCAAUAUGCAGCCAGUGUGGCCGCAGCAGCGCAAGAAGGAACGCCGAGGAAGCUGAGCGCACUACUGGCCCGAAAUCUGCAACGCUAUCUAGCCCGCAUCAGAAGCCUAAUGCUUUGCAUGUGGCAUCGGAUACCCAUUGCAGCUGCUCAAGGCUCAAAAUGGCCGUGCCCGAACAUGAAUGGUGCUCACCUGCAUCGGUCGGCUCGGCUCGAAGUCAAGCCCCGGUGCACUUGCGAUUGACCGUGAUGUGGCCAUAGUAGCUCUCGACCGCACCAAGCACUCUUCGCGCGCAGAACUCGAUUCUGCUGCUAGCGCAAUUCUUUCGCUUGACGGAAACUUUUCCUCGCGGUGCCCGGGAGGGAUUCGCGCUAGGAGCUGCUAGCUCGUGACAGUGGUGGUGCUUGCCGCAGCUUUCAUGCGCAUGCGGUGGAAAUCGAGAGAGGUCGCGAACAGCCCUAGAAAUGCUCUUCUUUGCCGUCAGGUGCUCGUAGCUAAGCAGUGGGCGUAAAAGCUGUUUGUGAGAUGUCUUUGCAUCUGUUGAAUGUGCAAUAUGAGCACAGCGCGAAGCUUUUAUCCAGUGGCGGGGACAGGGUCUCGGGCGCCCAUGCAGGCGACACGCGCCCAAUCCCGAGCCUCCCACUCCUCGCCUGUACCUUGUCCCUGGACCCGCGCCAUCCGUGUCCCGCUGUUCAAUUCCCGCGUUUCAUACCAGCUCCCCUCCCCUGCGUAGGCCGGUAACCCCUGAUCCCGCCGCUGCCGGGGAUGCAGCCGUGCAGGAUGAGGUUGACGGCUGGGGAAGUUGUUGUGGGGAAGUUGGUGUAGGUUGGCGGUGAUCCAGCGGGGUGGGUGCCGAUGUGCUAUAGCGGGCGCGAGGCUGUACACGUCAGGAUCUGGCGAGUGUACUGCUCAAGCUGGCUUUGUGAUGGCCCCCAAGCGUAGGUGAGGUAGGCGCACGGCGGUGACAAGGCAUGCGGCCAGUGGAACUGCCUUACAGUUACAGCCCGCCCAAGCGCGGUUGUUGCCCUGCCAUGAUUUCCGUGCAGUCUGCUAGCUUCGGCAGGGACGGUGCCCAUCAGUUCCCGAUGUUGACAAACCAUGCAUCCAGCCGCCCACACGUGCUCUUCGUUCGUCACAUACCGUACUCGAACUCCAAUGUCCACAGAGCGUGUGCGCGAAAUCCACACGCCACACACGCAAGUGACAGCCGCCCGUCCUUGCACAGCAAGCAUCUCCGCGCACGGUCGCACGCUUCUCUAGCCCCAACGAACCGCAAACCACAAAUCAAGUCACACCCACCUCAGCAUUAGAAGUGCACACCCGCCUAUCGAAUGUCGGAUGAUGAUAAGGCAACAAGUAGGUCUAGAGAAAUGAAAGCUAGUAGGUCUACUGCACCCAUGCAUGGAUGGAAAGAAUCAAUGGACCUGUGGAUAUAGGAUCCGGCCUUCUCAAGGGUCCUCGCGCAUUUACUAAAGAGCCAAGGGGUCUAGUAUGUAAGAAUCAAUGCCAGUCUCAAGUCAAGCACACUGCUGCCGCUUCCUGGCAUCUGGAAUGCCGGAAGGGUCGGAGGAACUUGCACCCACAGAACGUACACGUCGUGUCACUGACAGCCCACUCGAGUCUUGUAAACAGUAAGAAUAGUGCCCGCUCCUGCAGCGAGCCAAGAUACGGUAACCUCGAUACUUCUUUGUGUCUCACCGCGGUACGCGCACAGACAUUAAUCUGCGGGCUCCCUCUCCGCACUCCUUCUGUCACUCCCGUGCGUCAGGUCGUUUCCGACGUCGCCUCCACUCCAUCUCCUACGUCCCAUGACUCACCUGUAGCCCCAGGCAGCCCUGCGUCCAUUGGCACAGCGCCCCUCGCCACCUGCCACCCUCUCGCUCAGCAAAUGAACGCACGCACGAUAGCAAAACACCAGCAGUCCGUAGUAUGGCCAAGGGGGGCUGCCGGUUCCCCGGUCCCAUACAGUCACACAUACAUCUUAUUAAGAAACAUCAGCAGGGUUUAUUUGGCGAGUCUCAGUAGAGAAAUAGACAUCCCUACAUCACCCAAUGCGCAUGGCAAUAUCGCACUGAGUGCUUGCUUGCGCAAGCAAUCCAGCAUCAAGUGCGGCCUUUGACACUCCCGCUCGCUCACAUACGGUGUAUUAUCAGUACAGCACGGCAACACUCGCGCGAAUCAGUCCUGUCUCCUGCGGUAAACGCCGACUACCGUAGCACGCCCUGCUGUCGUGCUGACAAUGAGAAAUGUGCGGCGGCACAGCCCUGCUGGUUCACUUGAUAGUGAAUGGGCCCGAUCAGUAGCUAGUAGCGGCGAUUAGCCUAGCUGUCUAUACUUGCACGCAUACGCUGCGGGUGUGCCUCACAUACCAUAAUACCCAGUGCUGCUUCUUUCGCAUAUAACACACGCUCAGCAUGCCCUGCUGGCUCACUUCGAUACUGUGCCAUCCACACACGUACGUGUGACGAGCCCCUCUUGCGAACGGCCGCCGGCACCACAGCUGCGGCGGCUGCGGCUGCUGCUGCUCCUGCUGCUGCUACUGCUACUGCUGCAUCUUCAAAUGGCGAGGGCAGCAAGCCGCUGGCUGCAGGGCUCAUGCAGCUGACGGCGUAACACGGAAGCCAAACGAAACGGAGCGGCCCUUGCCGCUACCAGGCCGCCACCGCUGCCGGUGGCGGGAAGCAGCCGCACGCGCGCUCCAACGCGGCAAACUCCUCCAGCUCCCGCUCCUGCUCAGCCCACGCCGCCGCCGCCAGCUCCAUCGCCAGGCGCAGGCGCGAGGGCAUCACAGCUGACUGCCACUCAUCACCCUGCUGCACCGCCGCGAUCGGCGGAACGACACAGCUGCCCAUGCUGCUGCCGGCGGCGGUGCAGGCCUCCUUGUCAGCGCUAUGCUCCUCCACUGCCGCCUCCACCAACUCCACCUGCUGCGGCGUCUCACUGCCUGCCGCCGCCGCCACCCAGACCAGACUGCAGCUGCUGGCGCUGCGGCUGGUGCGGGCGCUGUCCGGCACGGCGCAGCAGCACGAGCUGAGCGGCGAGUCAGGCGCGUCCAGCCGCUCAGUGACGACGGCCACCUCCUGCGCCGCUUCGGCCGCCGCCGGCACGCACUCGCCCUGGGCCUCUGCUUUCCCCAUCGCCGCCAGCUCCGCCGCCAUCCAGGGCGACAGCGAGGCGAGGUAGGCGCCGAAAUCGCCGGCCUCCUCCGCCUCAACGUCAUCCGCCCAGCGGCGGCCGUUGGGGGUGCCGCCGGUGCCGCUGGCAGCUGCCGCCGCCGCCUGCUCCGCCAGGCCCUCCUUCAGCCAAUCUGCGAGCGACCCGAGGUCGAGCUCCUCCUCCGCCUCCUCAUGCGCCUCAACCUCAUCCGCCCAGCUACCGCUCGCGCCACCGCUGCUGCUAAUGCUGGCGCGAGGAGCAAUGCUGCUGCUGCUGCUGCUGCUGCUGCUGCUGCUGCUGCUGCUGCCGUCAGACUCUGACGCUGCCGCGGGCACGGCCGGUGCGGCUUCCGCCUGCUGCUGCUCGGCCGCCGCGAGCUCCGCCAGUCCCUGCUUCACCCAGGGCGUCUGCUCAAAGAGGUCGCUCAGGUCGAGUCCGUCAGCCUCAUCCUCAUCAUCAUCGCCCCAUCGCGGCGUGGUCGAGCUGCGGUCGACGGUGGAGGUGGAGAUGGGGCUUGCAGCGGCGGCGGGCUUGGUCGGGGCGGCGGGCUUGGUCGGAGCCGCGAGCUUGGGCACCUUGGGCAGGCCGGGCGGCUUCUGCGGGCGCCAGUGGUUGUCGUAGGCAUGGCAAAGCUGGCAAGGGGCGCUCCUGCAGCCAGCAGAUAGGCUGGCAUAGCACCAGCGCAUGCAGGACUUGUGAGGAAAGCAGCAGGCGCUGGGGGCGGGCUCCUGCUGCUCCUGCUGGUGGGCGGCGGCGGAGGGCUCGCUCUCAUCAGAGCCGUGGCCUUGGCUGCGGGGCGUGUGGCGCCAGGCGUCCUGUGCAAACGAGAUCGGGGGAAAAGGAUAGAUGGGGGCGGACAAGCCGUGAGUGCACGGGACGAGGACAAGGGUCGGGGCGCAGAGGGCGGGAGAAAGGGCCGGGGGUCGGGGGCUCGGGCCCCGGCAAAAAAGUCAGGCGCACCGGAAAGGCACGCGCUUUCGGUCAAAGCUGUUGACCGACGCAUUUUACGAGACAAUACAUGCAGCAAUAUGCAGCCAGUGUGGCCGCAGCAGCGCAAGAAGGAACGCCGAGGAAGCCGAGCGCACUACUGGCCCGAAAUCUGCAACGCUAUCUAGCCCGCAUCAGAAGCCUAAUGCUUUGCAUGUGGCAUCGGAUACCCAUUGCAGCUGCUCAAGGCUCAAAAUGGCCGUGCCCGAACAUGAAUGGUGCUCACCUGCAUCGGUCGGCUCGGCUCGAAGUCAAGCCCCGGUGCACUUGCGAUUGACCGUGAUGUGGCCAUAGUAGCUCUCGACCGCACCAAGCACUCUUCGCGCGCAGAACUCGAUUCUGCUGCUAGCGCAAUUCUUUCGCUUGACGGAAACUUUUCCUCGCGGUGCCCGGGAGGGAUUCGCGCUAGGAGCUGCUAGCUCGUGACAGUGGUGGUGCUUGCCGCAGCUUUCAUGCGCAUGCGGUGGAAAUCGAGAGAGGUCGCGAACAGCCCUAGAAAUGCUCUUCUUUGCCGUCAGGUGCUCGUAGCUAAGCAGUGGGCGUAAAAGCUGUUUGUGAGAUGUCUUUGCAUCUGUUGAAUGUGCAAUAUGAGCACAGCGCGAAGCUUUUAUCCAGUGGCGGGGACAGGGUCUCGGGCGCCCAUGCAGGCGACACGCGCCCAAUCCCGAGCCUCCCACUCCUCGCCUGUACCUUGUCCCUGGACCCGCGCCAUCCGUGUCCCGCUGUUCAAUUCCCGCGUUUCAUACCAGCUCCCCUCCCCUGCGUAGGCCGGUAACCCCUGAUCCCGCCGCUGCCGGGGAUGCAGCCGUGCAGGAUGAGGUUGACGGCUGGGGAAGUUGGUGUGGGGAAGUUGGUGUAGGUUGGCGGUGAUCCAGCGGGGUGGGUGCCGAUGUGCUAUAGCGGGCGCGAGGCUGUACACGUCAGGAUCUGGCGAGUGUACUGCUCAAGCUGGCUUUGUGAUGGCCCCCAAGCGUAGGUGAGGUAGGCGCACGGCGGUGACAAGGCAUGCGGCCAGUGGAACUGCCUUACAGUUACAGCCCGCCCAAGCGCGGUUGUUGCCCUGCCAUGAUUUCCGUGCAGUCUGCUAGCUUCGGCAGGGACGGUGCCCAUCAGUUCCCGAUGUUGACAAACCAUGCAUCCAGCCGCCCACACGUGCUCUUCGUUCGUCACAUACCGUACUCGAACUCCAAUGUCCACAGAGCGUGUGCGCGAAAUCCACACGCCACACACGCAAGUGACAGCCGCCCGUCCUUGCACAGCAAGCAUCUCCGCGCACGGUCGCACGCUUCUCUAGCCCCAACGAACCGCAAACCACAAAUCAAGUCACACCCACCUCAGCAUUAGAAGUGCACACCCGCCUAUCGAAUGUCGGAUGAUGAUAAGGCAACAAGUAGGUCUACUGCACCCAUGCAUGGAUGGAAAGAAUCAAUGGACCUGUGGAUAUAGGAUCCGGCCUUCUCAAGGGUCCUCGCGCAUUUACUAAAGAGCCAAGGGGUCUAGUAUGUAAGAAUCAAUGCCAGUCUCAAGUCAAGCACACUGCUGCCGCUUCCUGGCAUCUGGAAUGCCGGAAGGGUCGGAGGAACUUGCACCCACAGAACGUACACGUCGUGUCACUGACAGCCCACUCGAGUCUUGUAAACAGUAAGAAUAGUGCCCGCUCCUGCAGCGAGCCAAGAUACGGUAACCUCGAUACUUCUUUGUGUCUCACCGCGGUACGCGCACAGACAUUAAUCUGCGGGCUCCCUCUCCGCACUCCUUCUGUCACUCCCGUGCGUCAGGUCGUUUCCGACGUCGCCUCCACUCCAUCUCCUACGUCCCAUGACUCACCUGUAGCCCCAGGCAGCCCUGCGUCCAUUGGCACAGCGCCCCUCGCCACCUGCCACCCUCUCGCUCAGCAAAUGAACGCACGCACGAUAGCAAAACACCAGCAGUCCGUAGUAUGGCCAAGGGGGGCUGCCGGUUCCCCGGUCCCAUACAGUCACACAUACAUCUUAUUAAGAAACAUCAGCAGGGUUUAUUUGGCGAGUCUCAGUAGAGAAAUAGACAUCCCUACAUCACCCAAUGCGCAUGGCAAUAUCGCACUGAGUGCUUGCUUGCGCAAGCAAUCCAGCAUCAAGUGCGGCCUUUGACACUCCCGCUCGCUCACAUACGGUGUAUUAUCAGUACAGCACGGCAACACUCGCGCGAAUCAGUCCUGUCUCCUGCGGUAAACGCCGACUACCGUAGCACGCCCUGCUGUCGUGCUGACAAUGAGAAAUGUGCGGCGGCACAGCCCUGCUGGUUCACUUGAUAGUGGGCCCGAUCAGUAGCUAGUAGCGGCGAUUUGCCUAGCCGUCUAUACUUGCACGCAUACGCUGCGGGUGUGCCUCACAUACCAUAAUACCCAGUGCUGCUUCUUUCGCAUAUAACACACGCUCAGCAUGCCCUGCUGGCUCACUUCGAUACUGUACCAUCCACACACGUACGUGUGACGAGCCCCUGUUGCAAAAGGCCGCCGGCACCACAGCUGCGGCUGCUGCGGCUGCUGCUGCCGCUGCUACUGCUGCAUCUUCAAAUGGCGAAGGCAGCAAGCCGCUGGCUGCUGGGCUCAUGCAGCUGACGGCGUAACACGGAAUGAAGCCAAACGGAACGGAGCGGCCCUUGCCGCUACCAGGCCGCCACCGCUGCCGGUGGCGGGAAGCAGCCGCACGCGCGCUCCAACGCGGCAAACUCCUCCAGCUCCCGCUCCUGCUCGGCCCACGCCGCCGCCGCCAGCUCGAUCGCCAGGCGCAGGCGCGAGGGCAUCACAGCUGACUGCCACUCAUCACCCUGCUGCACUGCCGCAAUUGGCGGAACGACACAGCUGCCCAUGCUGCUGCCGGCGGCGGUGCAGGCCUCCUUGUCAAUGCUCUGCCGCUCCGCUGCCACCUCCACCGCCUCCACCUGCUGCGGCGUCUCACUGCCUGCCGCCGCCGCCACCCAGACCAGACUGCAGCUGCUGGCGCUGCGGCUGGUGCGGGCGCUGUCCGGCACGGCGCAGCAGCACGAGCUGAGCGGCGAGUCAGGCGCGUCCGGCCGCUCAGUGACAACGGCCACCUCCUGCUCCGCUUCGGCCGCCGCCGGCACGCACUCGCCCUGGGCCUCUGCUUUCCCCAUCGCCGCCAGCUCCGCCGCCAUCCAGGGCGACAGCGAGGCGAGGUAGGCGCCGAAAUCGUCGGCCUCCUCCUCCUCGACGUCAUCCGCCCAGCGGCGGCCGCUGGGGGUGCCGCCGGUGCCGCUGGCAGAUCCCGCCGCCGCCUGCUCCGCCAGGCCCUCCUUCAACCAAUCUGCAAGCGACCCGAGGUCGAGCUCCUCCUCCUCCUCCGCCUCCUCGUGCGCCUCGACUUCAUCCGCCCAGCUACCGCUCGCGCCACCGCUGCUGCUAAUGCUGGCGCGAGGAGCAAUGCUGCUGCUGCUACUGCUGCUGCUGCUGCCGUCAGACUCUGACGCUGCCGCGGGCGCGGCCGGUGCGGCUUCCGCCUGCUGCUGCUCGGCCGCCGCGAGCUCCGCCAGUCCCUGCUUCACCCAGGGCGUCUGCUCAAAGAGGUCGCUCAGGUCGAGUCCGUCAGCCUCAUCCUCAUCAUCAUCGCCCCAUCGCGGCGUGGUCGAGCUGCGGUCGACGGUGGAGGUGGAGAUGGGGCUGGCAGCGGCGGCGGGCUUGGUCGGGGCGGCGGGCUUGGUCGGAGCCGCGAGCUUGGGCACCUUGGGCAGGCCGGGCGGCUUCUGCGGGCGCCAGUGGUUGUCGUAGGCAUGGCAAAGCUGGCAGGGGGCGCUCCUGCAGCCAGCAGAUAGGCUGGCAUAGCACCAGCGGAUGCAGAACUUGUGGGGAAAGCAGCAGGCGCUGGGGCCGGGCUCCUGCUGCUCCUGCUGGUGGGCGGCGGCGGAGGGCUCGCUCUCAUCAGAGCCAUGGCCUUGGCUGCGGGGCGUGUGGCGCCAGGCGUCCUGUGCAAACGAGAUCGGGGGAAAGGAUAGAUGGGGGCGGACAAGCCGUGAGUGCACGGGACGAGGACAAGGGUCGGGGCGCAGAGGGCGGGACAAAGGGCCGGGGGUCGGGGGCUCGAGCCCCGGCAAAAAAGUCAGGCGCACCGGAAAGGCACGCGCUUUCGGUCAAAGCUGUUGACCGACGCAUUUUACGAGACAAUACAUGCAGCAAUAUGCAGCCAGUGUGGCCGCAGCAGCGCAAGAAGGAAGGCUGAGGAAGCAGAGCGCACUACUGACCCGAAAUCUGCAACGCUAUAUAGCCCGCAUCCGAAGCCUAAUGCUUUGCAUGUGGCAUCAGAUACCCAUUGCAGCUGCUCAAGGCUCAAAAUGGCCGUGCCCGAACAUGAAUGGUGCUCACCUGCAUCGGUCGGCUCGGCUCGAAGUCAAGCCCCGGUGCACUUGCAAUUGACCGUGAUGUGGCCAUAGUAGCUCUUGACCGCACCAAGCACUCUUCGCGCGCAGAACUCGAUUCUGCUGCUAGCGCAAUUCUUUCGCUUGAUGGAGUUUCCUCGCGGUGCCCGGGAGGGAUUCGCGCUAGAAGCUGCUAGUUCGUGAUAGUGGUGGUGCUUGCCGCAGCGUUCAUGCGCAUGCGGUGGAAAUCGAGAGAGGUCGCGAACAGCCCUAGAAAUGCUCUUCUUUGCCGUCGAUAAGCUCAGGUGCUCGUAGCUAAGCAGUGGGCGUAAAAGCUGUUUGCGGGAUGUCUUUGCAUCUGUUGAUUGUGCAAUAUGAGCACAGCGCGAGAAGCUUUUAUCCGGUGGCGGGGACAGGGUCUCGGGCGCCCAUGCAGGCGACACGCGCCUAAUCCCGAGCCUCCCUCCUCGCCUUUACCUUGUCCCUGGACCCGCGCCAUCCGUGCCCCGCUGUUCACUUCCCUCGUUUCAUACCAGUUCCCCUCCCCUGCGUAGGCCGGUAACCCCUGAUCCCGCCGCUGCCAGGGAUGCAGCUGUGCAGGAUGAGGUUGACGGCUGUGGAUUGCAUUGGUUACAAGAGGGACCUGCUGACGCAGUUCACGAGCCAGUGACGUGUGGAAGUUGGUGUAGGUUGGCGGUGAUCCAGCGGGGUGGGUGCCGAUGUGCUAUAGUGGGCGCGAGGCUGUACACGUCAGGACCUGGCGAGUGUACUGCUAAAGCUGACUUUGUGAUGGCCCCCAAGCGUAGGUGAGGUAGGCGCACGGUGGUGACAAGGCAUGCGGCCAGUGGAACUGCCUUACAGUUACAGCCCGCCCAAGCGCGGUUGUUGCCCUGCCAUGAUUUCCGUGGAGUCUCUAGCUCCGGCAGGGACGGUCCCCAUCAGUUCCCGUAGUGGACCAUGCAUCCAGCCGCCCACACGUGCUCUCCGUUCGUCACAUACAGUACUCGAACUCCAAUGUCCACAGAGCGUGUGCGCGAAGUCCACACGCCACACACGCAAGUGGCAGCCGCCCGUCCUUGCACAGCAAGCAUCUCCGCGCACGGUCGCACGCUUCACUAGCCCCAACGAACCGCCUACCACAAAUCAAGUCACACCCACCUCAGCAUUAGGAGUGCACAUCCGCCUGUCGAAUGUCGGAUGAUGAUAGGGCAACAAGUAGGUCUAGAGAAAUGAAAGCUAGUAGGUCUACUGCACCCAUGCAUGGAUGGAAAGAAUCAAUGGACCUUUGGAUAUAGGAUCCGGCCUUCUCAAGGGUCCUCGCGCAUUUACUAAAGAGCCAAGGGGUCUAGUAUGUAAGAAGCAAUGCCAGUCUCAAGUCAAGCACACUGCUGCCGCUUCCUGGCAUCUGGAAUGCCGGAAGGGUCGGAGGAACUUGCACCCACAGAACGUACACGUCGUGUCACUGACAGCCCACUCGAGUCUUGUAAACAGUAGAAAUCGUGCCCGCUCCUGCAGCGAGCCAAGAUACGGUAACCUCGAUACUUCUUUGUGUCUCACCGCGGUACGCGCACAGACAUUAAUCUGCGGGCUCCCUCUCCGCACUCCUUCUGUCACUCCCGUGCGUCAGGUCUUCUCCGACGUCGCCUCCACUCCAUCUCCUACGUCCCAUGACUCACCUGUAGCCCCAGGCAGCCCUGCGUCCAUUGGCACAGCGCCCCUCGCCACCUGCCACCCUCUCGCUCAGCAAAUAAACGCACGCGCGAUAGCAAAACACCAGCAGUCCGUAGUAUGGCCAAGGGGGGCUGCCGGUUCCCCGGUCCCAUACAGUCACACAUACAUCUUAUUAAGAAAAAUCAGCAAGGUUUAUUUGGCGAGUCUCAGUAGAGAAAUAGACAUCCAUACAUCACCCAAUGCGCAUGGCAAUAUCGCACAGAGUGCUUGCUUGCGCAAGCAAUCCAGCAUCAAGUACGGCCUUUGACACUCCCGCUCGCUCACAUACGGUGUAAUAUCAGUACAGCACGGCAACACUCGCGCGAAUCAGUCCUGUGUCCUGCGGUAAACGCCGACUACCGUAGCACGCCCUGCUGUCGUGCUGACAAUGAGAAAUGUGCGGCGGCACAGCCCUGCUGGUUCACUUGAUAGUGAAUGGGCCCGAUCAGUAGCUAGUAGCGGCGAUUUGCCUAGCUGUCUAUACUUGCACGCAUACGCUGCGGGUGUGCCUCACAUACCAUAAUACCCAGUGCUGCUUCUUUCGCAUUUAACACACGCUCAGCAUGCCCUGCUGGCUCACUUCGAUACUGUGCCAUCCACACACGUACGUGUGACGAGCCCCUCUUGCGAACGGCCGUCGGCACCACAGCUGCGGCGGCUGCGGCUGCGGCUGCUGCUGCUCCUGCUGCUGCUACUGCUACUGCUGCAUCUUCAAGUGGCGAAGGCAGCAAGCCGCUGGCUGCUGGGCUCAUGCAGCUGACGGCGUAACACGGAAGCCAAACGGAACGGAGCGGCCCUUGCCGCUACCAGGCCGCCACCGCUGCCGGUGGCGGGAAGCAGCCGCACGCGCGCUCCAACGCGGCAAACUCCUCCAGCUCCCGCUCCUGCUCGGCCCACGCCGCCGCCGCCAGCUCGAUCGCCAGGCGCAGGCGCGAGGGCAUCACAGCUGACUGCCACUCAUCACCCUGCUGCACUGCCGCGAUUGGCGGAACGACACAGCUGCCCAUGCUGCUGCCGGCGGCGGUGCAGGCCUCCUUGUCAAUGCUCUGCCGCUCCGCUGCCACCUCCACCGCCUCCACCUGCUGCGGCGUCUCACUGCCUGCCGCCGCCGCCACCCAGACCAGACUGCAGCUGCUGGCGCUGCGGCUGGUGCGGGCGCUGUCCGGCACGGCGCAGCAGCACGAGCUGAGCGGCGAGUCAGGCGCGUCCGGCCGCUCAGUGACAACGGCCACCUCCUGCUCCGCUUCGGCCGCCGCCGGCACGCACUCGCCCUGGGCCUCUGCUUUCCCCAUCGCCGCCAGCUCCGCCGCCAUCCAGGGCGACAGCGAGGCGAGGUAGGCGCCGAAAUCGUCGGCCUCCUCCUCCUCGACGUCAUCCGCCCAGCGGCGGCCGCUGGGGGUGCCGCCGGUGCCGCUGGCAGAUCCCGCCGCCGCCUGCUCCGCCAGACCCUCCUUCAACCAAUCUGCAAGCGACCCGAGGUCGAGCUCCUCCUCCUCCUCCGCCUCCUCGUGCGCCUCGACUUCAUCCGCCCAGCUACCGCUCGCGCCACCGCUGCUGCUAAUGCUGGCGCGAGGAGCAAUGCUGCUGCUGCUACUGCUGCUGCUGCUGCCGUCAGACUCUGACGCUGCCGCGGGCGCGGCCGGUGCGGCUUCCGCCUGCUGCUGCUCGGCCGCCGCGAGCUCCGCCAGUCCCUGCUUCACCCAGGGCGUCUGCUCAAAGAGGUCGCUCAGGUCGAGUCCGUCAGCCUCAUCCUCAUCAUCAUCGCCCCAUCGCGGCGUGGUCGAGCUGCGGUCGACGGUGGAGGUGGAGAUGGGGCUGGCAGCGGCGGCGGGCUUGGUCGGGGCGGCGGGCUUGGUCGGAGCCGCGAGCUUGGGCACCUUGGGCAGGCCGGGCGGCUUCUGCAGGCGCCAGUGGUUGUCGUAGGCAUGGCAAAGCUGGCAGGGGGCGCUCCUGCAGCCAGCAGAUAGGCUGGCAUAGCACCAGCGGAUGCAGGACUUGUGGGGAAAGCAGCAGGCGCUGGGGCCGGGCUCCUGCUGCUCCUGCUGGUGGGCGGCGGCGGAGGGCUCGCUCUCAUCAGAGCCAUGGCCUUGGCUGCGGGGCGUGUGGCGCCAGGCGUCCUGUGCAAACGAGAUCGGGGGAAAGGAUAGAUGGGGGCGGACAAGCCGUGAGUGCACGGGACGAGGACAAGGGUCGGGGCGCAGAGGGCGGGAGCAAGGGCCGGGGGUCAGGGGCUCGAGCCCCGGCAAAAAAAUCAGGCACACACCGGAAAGGCACGCGCUUUCGGUCAAAGCUGUUGACCGACGCAUUUUACGAGACAAUACAUGCAGCAAUAUGCAGCCAGUGUGGCCGCAGCAGCGCAAGAAGGAAGGCCGAGGAAGCCGAGCGCACUACUGGCCCGAAAUCUGCAACGCUAUAUAGCCCGCAUCCGAAGCCUAAUGCUUUGCAUGUGGCAUCAGAUACCCAUUGCAGCUGCUCAAGGCUCAAAAUGGCCGUGCCCGAACAUGAAUGGUGCUCACCUGCAUCGGUCGGCUCGGCUCGAAGUCAAGCCCCGGUGCACUUGCAAUUGACCGUGAUGUGGCCAUAGUAGCUCUUGACCGCACCAAGCACUCUUCGCGCGCAGAACUCGAUUCUGCUGCUAGCGCAAUUCUUUCGCUUGAUGGAGUUUCCUCGCGGUGCCCGGGAGGGAUUCGCGCUAGAAGCUGCUAGUUCGUGAUAGUGGUGGUGCUUGCCGCAGCGUUCAUGCGCAUGCGGUGGAAAUCGAGAGAGGUCGCGAACAGCCCUAGAAAUGCUCUUCUUUGCCGUCGAUAAGCUCAGGUGCUCGUAGCUAAGCAGUGGGCGUAAAAGCUGUUUGCGAGAUGUCUUUGCAUCUGUUGAUUGUGCAAUAUGAGCACAGCGCGAGAAGCUUUUAUCCGGUGGCGGGGACAGGGUCUCGGGCGCCCAUGCAGGCGACACGCGCCCAAUCCCGAGCCUCCCUCCUCGCCUUUACCUUGUCCCUGGACCCGCGCCAUCCGUGUCCCGCUGUUCACUUCCCGCGUUUCAUACCAGUCCCCCUCCCCUGCGUAGGCCGGUAACCCCUGAUCCCGCCGCUGCCAGGGAUGCAGCUGUGCAGGAUGAGGUUGACGGCUGUGGAAGUUGGUGUGUGAUGGGACAGGGUUCAGGCAGGUUGGCGAGGUCCCAUAGGGUGCAGCUGACGCCCGUACCCCAAGCAGACAGCAAACAGUUUGCAGCGGCAGAGCAGGAGUGCAUGGCUGGUCGAACGCCGGAGUUACUGUACCGACAAGUUGCUGGCUGGCUGGAAGUUGGUGUAGGUUGGCGGUGAUCCAGCGGGGUGGGUGCCGAUGUGCUAUAGCGGGCGCGAGGCUGUACACGUCAGGACCUGGCGAGUGUACUGCUAAAGCUGGCUUUGUGAUGGCCCCCAAGCGUAGGUGAGGUAGGCGCACGGUGGUGACAAGGCAUGCGGCCAGUGGAACUGCCUUACAGUUACAGCCCGCCCAAGCGCGGUUGUUGCCCUGCCAUGAUUUCCGUGGAGUCUGCUAGGCAGUCGGCAGGGACGGUGCCCAUCAGUUCCCGAAGUGGACAAACCAUGCAUCCAGCCGCCCACACGUGCUCUCCGUUCGUCACAUACAGUACUCGAACUCCAAUGUCCACAGAGCGUGUGCGCGAAGUCCACACGCUACACACGCAAGUGGCAGCCGCCCGUCCUUGCACAGCAAGCAUCUCCGCGCACGGUCGCACGCUUCACUAGCCCCAACGAACCGCCUACCACAAAUCAAGUCACACCCACCUCAGCAUUAGGAGUGCACAUCCGCCUGUCGAAUGUCGGAUGAUGAUAGGGCAACAAGUAGGUCUAGAGAAAUGAAAGCUAGUAGGUCUACUGCACCCAUGCAUGGAUGGAAAGAAUCAAUGGACCUGUGGAUAUAGGAUCCGGCCUUCUCAAGGGUCCUCGCGCAUUUACUAAAGAGCCAAGAGGUCUAGUAUGUAAGAAUCAAUGCCAGUCUCAAGUCAAGCACACUGCUGCCGCUUCCUGGCAUCUGGAAUGCCGGAAGGGUCGGAGGAACUUGCACCCACAGAACGUACACGUCGUGUCACUGACAGCCCACUCGAGUCUUGUAAAC